AUAUACCACCUCUCGUCUAUAUAUCACGAAACAAGCCUGUACAAUAAGCUGUCGGUCCAGUGAACCUCAACAGUCUCUAAGGUUACAAUGAGGCCUCCGUGACAAUGCCGGCGCUGCAGAGAGGUCCGAGGAGCAAUGUAAAACCCAGUACGGGUCCCAUUGUCUGAUAGCUGCAGUAUCCCGUUGGUGUGAUAGCAUUUUGUCAUUGCCACCAGUGUGAGCUGCAACUCUUCAGCACCCCCCAUCCCCAACCCCGCCUCCUUUCCUUUAACCAACUGCUGCCUAAUUUCACAUUAAAACACAACCAGUUUCGUUUUAUCCUUUUCGCAAAUUAAUUAUUCUUUCCGAAAAAAAUAUCCUUUGUUUAUAACGUAUCAUACAAAAAAUGAAGACCUGUUGUAUUUCACAGGGAAAACAAAAGCUUUUUUUCCCCAAAUACGUCAAAUAUGCAUUUUGAAAGAAUCUCACUGAGAAAUCAAUGCAAAGAAAACGGUGACCUAAUCUUUGUUUUUUAAGAAAGCUGGAAAAUUCUCACAUACACAAAUAAACAAAUAACCGCACCGUACCUGCUACAGCCUAUUUAGUAAGCGGUUCAUUAUCUCAUUACCAACCUUUUUCCUCAAAUGUGCUGUAUAUUAGAAACUCACAAUCCUUUUAUAAAAUAAGGAAAAAAAGUCUAGCAGCAACAUCUUACAGCUUUAAGCAAACAAUGACAUCAUAAUAAGAGCCCCGCGCUAAUAUUGCAGUAACAUUCGCUGCCCGCAGAUUUACCCAAUCCAUCGUUAAAAGGCGAACGCCUUCCGCAGCGGAGCACAACUGCUGCAUCUCCUCUCCCGUCCAUUGCAAUCGCUCCACGGGUUUGCCACAAAUGCACGUUUUUUAUUUUUACUUUAUUUUUUUUUUAAAUUCUUUUGUAAGCUACUGUCGAGCUCAGCGACGGAAAAGGUGCUCGUCGGUUCUCUCCUUUUCUUCGAUUAUUUCACACCAUUUUUCAUUGUCCUGAAACAGAGUAAUGAAAAAGAAGCAGACGGAUCUCGUCAGAUCUGAAAAGCCGGGCGGGCGCUCUAUUCAUCUCCCAGCUUUUCCGGCGCCCUCCGCGUUUGCCCCCUCCAAUAUCUUCUACCUCACUCCGCCAAGGUCUAUAAGAAGACUGGGACACGUCCCUUUCAAUUUAUCCCUUUUUUAUCUUGAUCUUCCUAGGCAACAGUUUUCGGUCCAGCCCUGGGUUUUUUUUCAGCUGAUCUGAUCCAGUCUAGAGGAUUACAGCUCCAUGUUUCCAUCCCAGACAUUCUCAACCCAUCUGCUGAUUGGGUUCAGCACAAGAGGAUUACAUUGGGACCUAAUGACGUCAUGGCCAGGGCCCAAGUUCUCCCCCAUUAACCAAAUCCUCAUCAGCAAGAUGUCCUUGAAACCGCAGGGGCUGACAUUCUAGAGAAAAUCCUGGCAAACUUUGACAUUUUUUCAUAAUCAAAAGCUUUUAUACAGUCUUUGCAACGCAUAUGGCCAGCUAGGAUGGUAUUUAAAGGAAGAAUUCAAGAGGGAGGAAACCUACAAUCAAUGAAGCAUCGCCUGCUCACACCUGUCAAAUCCUUCUCCGUAUCCAUCUGAACUUCCUUCAGCUCCUCCUCCAGCUUCAUCUUUGCCCCCACAGCAGUAGCUCCUUGGACUCCAAGGUUAUACUUACAGUCAAGAAGGAUUUCUUUCAAAGAAUCUAACUUUCUGUCUAACAAUAUCAGGAUUUGUCAGAACCCGUUGAACAUUGCAGCCCAAAUAGCAAGAGAACACAGAUUUUGCACUGCUGCCAUUCUACACAUAUAACCCAACUAUGGGAUUAAUGAAGUGAAAUAUUUCCAGCUGAAAUUUUCAUUCAGUUAUAAGCAGACAAUUGUGUUUUAUACCUCUGUUUUGUGGCAAAAUUCUGCACAAAUUGAGGGUUCCGCCUCAUUCCCAAAAACUAACAAAGAAGUACCAAUCUCCUUCUCUGUAAGACUUUGCUCACAAUAUC
Polypterus senegalus (gray bichir) is the source of this 2005-nucleotide long non-coding RNA. RefSeq lists it as uncharacterized. The record is from RefSeq and is a predicted model, not a curated record. Lineage: Eukaryota; Metazoa; Chordata; Cladistia; Polypteriformes; Polypteridae. The transcript is spliced from 3 exons.